AAUAGUUUGACAACGAAGCGUACCCAGUACACCAGUUGGUGUAAAAAGCAGCUUGUUUCUGCUUUAAAGUUUAAUAAAAACUGAGAUAAGAUCUGCAUUGGGAUGCUCUCGGAACAACACAAAUCGGAAAAUGGAGGAACUAAAAAAGACGCAGAGUCAUACCACAGAUAACAGAUAUUGAGGCUGGCAUCCGAAACGUGUGUAAACAUCGGCAACCGUUAAUUCAAAUGUAUUUUAAAUUGGGACCGCGUUUAGCAAUCGUUUGGAGAUGGCGCAAGGAUCAUUGUUAUUGAAAACGCAGCCCGAAUGCGGCUGUCAAAUCCAUUGGCUGCGUUCGACGGUUGUGAAUCAGCUGCGUAAGUAUGUACUGCCGCAAUCAGUUGAGUAGAUGGCAGUAGUGGGCCAACGUAUAUCAAUUCAAAAGUUUACACAGGAUUUUCAAUAAAAUUUGUUCUAGCUUAAAUAUCUGUUAUCUGUGGUCAUACGUAUAGCUGAACGUUGAUGGCUAAUGUGCGUUACACUUCUGGCGAUUUGUAACAGCAAACUCAACCUCAAUACAAGCCGGAAGGAUGAUCUUGUGCUUGCUUUUCAUCCUCUAUGAGGAAGCUCGUUUGGAGGAUGAGG
Armigeres subalbatus is the source of this 624-nucleotide long non-coding RNA. RefSeq lists it as uncharacterized. Lineage: Eukaryota; Metazoa; Arthropoda; Insecta; Diptera; Culicidae. The record is from RefSeq and is a predicted model, not a curated record. The transcript is spliced from 3 exons.